CUGGUAUCCUAUUAAUUAUUUACCAAAAGAAUUCAGUAUUAUAAUUGUAACAUAAGCGUAAAAAACUUAUAAAACAACUUUUAACAACGGAUCUCUUGGUUCUCGCAUCGAUGAAGAACGUAGCAAAGUGCGAUAACUAGUGUGAAUUGCAUAUUCAGUGAAUCAUCGAGUCUUUGAACGCAACUUGCGCUCAAUGGUAUUCCAUUGAGCACGCCUGUUUCAGUAUCAAAAACACCCCACAUUCAUAAUUUUGUUGUGAAUGGAAAUGAGAGUUUCGGCUUUAUUGCUGAAUUCUUUAAAAUUAUUAGGCCUGAACUAUUGUUCUUUCUGCCUGAACAUUUUUUUAAUAUAAAGGAAUGCUCUAGUAAAAAGACUAUCUCUGGGGCCUCCCAAAUAAAUCAUUCUUAAAUUUGAUCUGAAAUCAGGCGGGAUUACCCGCUGAACUUAAGCAUAUCAAUAAGC
Molecule: ribosomal RNA, 462 nt
Filed under: Mucor hiemalis
Lineage: Eukaryota; Fungi; Mucoromycota; Mucoromycetes; Mucorales; Mucoraceae
Description: eukaryotic LSU rRNA
Rfam family: 5.8S ribosomal RNA (bases 76-228)
Source: RNAcentral